RNAcentral lists this long non-coding RNA (1552 nucleotides) under Olea europaea subsp. europaea. Lineage: Eukaryota; Viridiplantae; Streptophyta; Magnoliopsida; Lamiales; Oleaceae. The record is from RNAcentral.
AGAAUUCCUUGCUUCUUGCAGACAUCAAAGUACCAGAAAAUGACACCGUAAAAUAACCAGUUCAAAAAAAAUUCAUUGUAAGAGUGAUAAGCAUGGGUGUUUCUUCAUAGAACUAAAAGAAAGUCAUCAAAUUCUCAUUUAUUAAGCACUUACUAAAAUUAGUGCCCGUAGUAUUUUCACCAAAAUAAAUCCGGGAGGCUGGAAACCUGAAAUAUGAAUUAGUAACACAAUGAGGAAUGAGUUAGAUUAUCAUUUACCAGCUAAUGAAAUUUCAGUGACACACGAUAGAUAACCAAGAUAGGUUCUCUGCUCUCGGAAAAUAAUUUCAGGCUUGUCUUCUAUCGGGCAGAGCCCCUUUUUUGAGUUCAUCAACUAAUGACUAAUUUCUAAUAGCAACUAAUUCAGGAUGAAGUCUCUUUACCUGAAUAGUAUAUCGUUUGAUAAAUACAAGUGGUCAAAUAAUGCAACACAAAAGAAAUGACUACUUCAAUUACUAACAAUUGGCAUUUCCUAGGUCUAUGCUGUGUCAUAAAUCAUCAAUCACCUGAUCAGCAAGAAGGGUCACAUUUGAAUACAAGUGCAACAACUAUAAAAUUAUCAGAAGUUUUUGAACCUCUGUCUAAUGUCUGCACAGCCUAGAGUUAGAUAGUAAGCAACAAAGAGUUUCAUCAUUGAACAAAGCCUUGUUGUUUACUAAAUCAGGAAAUAUAAAUGAUGCAUAUUACCCCUAUAUUAAUGUUGAGAAAAUCCUGAGCAUUGAAAAAUCAAGGCGUCAAAUCCUCUGCAUAAUAAGUACAAAACCCAGAUACUAUGAACACAAGGCUCAAAGUUCUAUUUUACAGCUGUAUCAAUGAACUUAGAGCACUUAAGUUAUACAUCUUUCUCUUUACUUCCAUUAACAAUGAUUAAAUAAAAAUGUAAUCAGUUAACUCACCGUUAAAAACUUAAUGGUUUUUUCAUUAAAGAAGAAAAGAAAAACGGCACAAUUAAAUACCAAAAAAUUAACACAAAACUAAACUUACUUCCAAGAAAUUGGUCCUUGUUAGAAAAUUUGAAAAGCAAAAUUCGAGGCCUACAUUAUUAAUCAAUUUUCUACAAAAUUGAAAAAGGAAGAAGAAAUAGAACUGAGAAAGCAAACACAAAAUAGAUGGCUCCAGCGACCGCUAACACAGCUUUGACUUUCCACCCUUAGUCACACUAUCUCCUCAGCUGUCCAAACCACCAUUUUCAUGAAUUCCACCAAAACCACAGCAAACAAGGCAGCUGCAAUUGAGACUUGCAUAGAUCCACCAAACCCAAACCCGUAAGCAAAGAGCUCGAUCUGAAUCUAUUGAAGACUUUGUCUAGUCUAAUUCCUAUUACUUUCCAUGGAUCAUUCGUAAUUGCAUAUAUGAAGGAAGAAGAUCUAGCAUUCACCGUCGACUUUAUCUCUGGAUUAGUCUGCAGAAUAGGGCCAAAAUAAAGGACGUAACGUGAGAGGAGGGAGAUUCGGGAGAGUCGACUGCUAGGAUUUGUUGGAAGAAAUGUGUAAAAUGAAUAUAGGAAAGGAAAA